UGCAUCGGCUAGCUACUGCUCUUUGAGUAGAGGAAAGUCCGCUCUACCACAGGCUGAAAUGCCUGUAGUGUUCAUGUUAGGUCUAAUAAACCUAAGCCUAGACGACUAGUGCCACAGAGACGAGAAUUGUGAAACGGGUAAACUCCAUGAGGUAGAAACAGAAAUUUUGGUACUGGAGUUUCUUCAAGGGAAUAACAACUAAGAAGAAAAAUCGUAAGAUUAGAUAAAUUGCUAGCACCUUGUUUACAAGGUACAAAAAGCGGCUUAUAGGU
Molecule: RNase P RNA, 272 nt
Filed under: Mycoplasma sp. Ms02
Lineage: Bacteria; Bacillati; Mycoplasmatota; Mollicutes; Mycoplasmatales; Mycoplasmataceae
Description: RNase P RNA component class B
Rfam family: Bacterial RNase P class B
About the family: Ribonuclease P (RNase P) is a ubiquitous endoribonuclease, found in archaea, bacteria and eukarya as well as chloroplasts and mitochondria. Its best characterised activity is the generation of mature 5'-ends of tRNAs by cleaving the 5'-leader elements of precursor-tRNAs.
Source: RNAcentral